This 30-nucleotide transfer RNA is filed under the name Cercopithecus cephus cephodes. RNAcentral's name for it is "partial tRNA-Glu". The record is from RNAcentral. Lineage: Eukaryota; Metazoa; Chordata; Mammalia; Primates; Cercopithecidae.
UUGGUUAUGGUUAGAGUCCAUGCAGAAGCA